AGUUUAGUAGUUGGACUUAGGGAACAAAGGAACCUUUAAUAGAAAUUGGACAGCAAGAAAGCGAGCUUAGUGAUACUUGUGAGCCAGGGCCUCACCACCAACUUCAUCCACGUUCACCUUGCCCCACAGGGCAGUAACGGCAGACUUCUCCUCAGGAGUCAGAUGCACCAUGGUGUCUGUUUGAGGUUGCUAGUGAACACUGUUAUGUCAGAAGAAAGUGUAAGCAACAGUCGACUCUGCCCUGCCUUUUAUGCUG
RNAcentral lists this long non-coding RNA (256 nucleotides) under Homo sapiens (human). Its description in RNAcentral is "HSALNT0361111". Lineage: Eukaryota; Metazoa; Chordata; Mammalia; Primates; Hominidae. The record is from RNAcentral.